GACAUCAGGAGGUUAGUGCAAUGGCAUAAGCCAGCUUGACUGCGAGCGUGACGGCGCGAGCAGGUGCGAAAGCAGGUCAUAGUGAUCCGGUGGUUCUGAAUGGAAGGGCCAUCGCUCAACGGAUAAAAGGUACUCCGGGGAUAACAGGCUGAUACCGCCCAAGAGUUCAUAUCGACGGCGGUGUUUGGCACCUCGAUGUCGGCUCAUCACAUCCUGGGGCUGAAGUAGGUCCCAAGGGUAUGGCUGUUCGCCAUUUAAAGUGGUACGCGAGCUGGGUUUAGAACGUCGUGAGACAGUUCGGUCCCUAUCUGCCGUGGGCGCUGGAGAACUGAGGGGGGCUGCUCCUAGUACGAGAGGACCGGAGUGGACGCAUCACUGGUGUUCGGGUUGUCAUGCC
This 397-nucleotide ribosomal RNA is filed under the name Salmonella enterica subsp. enterica serovar Stanley. Its description in RNAcentral is "partial 23S ribosomal RNA". It matches the Rfam family "Bacterial large subunit ribosomal RNA", at positions 2334 to 2730 of the family's 2925-position model. Lineage: Bacteria; Pseudomonadati; Pseudomonadota; Gammaproteobacteria; Enterobacterales; Enterobacteriaceae. The record is from RNAcentral.